GUAGGGAAUAUUGGACAAUGGGCGAAAGCCUGAUCCAGCCAUGCCGCGUGAUAGAUGAAGGCCCUCUGGGUUGUAAAUAUCUUUUAUCUGGGAAGAAACUCCUCUAUUCUUAGAGGCCUGACGGUACCAGAGGAAUAAGCACCGGCUAACUCCGUGCCAGCAGCCGCGGUAAUACGGAGGGUGCAAGCGUUAUCCGGAUUCACUGGGUUUAAAGGGUGCGUAGGCGGGUUGAUAAGUCAGUGGUGACAGCGCCGGGCUUAACUUGGAAACUGCCAUUGGUACUGUCAGUCUUGAAUGUCGUAGAGGUAAGCGGAAUGUUGCAUGUAGCGGUGAGAUGCUUAGAUAUGUUACAGAACACCAAUGGCGAAGGCAGCUUACUAUGCGAUAAUUGACGCUGAGGCACGAAAGCGUGGGGAGCAAACAGGAUUAGAAACCCUAGUAGUCC
This 445-nucleotide ribosomal RNA is filed under the name uncultured bacterium. Its description in RNAcentral is "partial 16S ribosomal RNA". It matches the Rfam family "Bacterial small subunit ribosomal RNA", at positions 354 to 796 of the family's 1533-position model. The record is from RNAcentral.